UACGUAGGUGGCAAGCGUUGUCCGGAGUUAUUGGGCGUAGAGCGCGCGCAGGCGGUGCGGUAAGUCUCUGGUGAAAGCGCUCGGCUUAACUGGGCGAGGGCCGGGGAGACUGCCACGCUGGAGGGGAGCAGAGGCGAGUGGAAUUCCGGGUGUAGUGGUGAAAUGCGUAGAGAUCCGGAGGAACACCAGUGGCGAAGGCGGCUCGCUGGGCUCUACCUGACGCUGAGGCGCGAAAGCGUGGGGAGCGAACCGG
RNAcentral lists this ribosomal RNA (253 nucleotides) under uncultured bacterium. RNAcentral describes it as "partial 16S ribosomal RNA". It matches the Rfam family "Bacterial small subunit ribosomal RNA", at positions 524 to 776 of the family's 1533-position model. The record is from RNAcentral.